GUCAGCAGAGGAAUUGUUUGAAGCACUAACACCAAAACCAAGUUGCAUAAUCUCUGACUUCACCCUUCCUUGGACCGCUCAAGUAGCCGAAAAGUAUCAUAUUCCAAGGAUUUCGUUCCACGGAUUUUCUUGCUUCUGCCUCCAUUGUCUGCACCAGGUACACAUUUCAGAGGUUUGUGAAAGCAUCACUUCAGAAUCCGAGUAUUUCAAGAUUCCUGGCAUACCUGACCAAAUUCAAGUUACCAAAGAGCAGAUACCUCUGAUGGUCCCGACAUUAAACGAACAUAAA
RNAcentral lists this long non-coding RNA (289 nucleotides) under Phaseolus vulgaris (common bean). RNAcentral's name for it is "long non-coding RNA (PVUL_LNC005219)". Lineage: Eukaryota; Viridiplantae; Streptophyta; Magnoliopsida; Fabales; Fabaceae. The record is from RNAcentral.